Molecule: ribosomal RNA, 253 nt
Filed under: uncultured bacterium
Lineage: Bacteria
Description: partial 16S ribosomal RNA
Rfam family: Bacterial small subunit ribosomal RNA
Source: RNAcentral
UACGGAGGGGACUAGCGUUGUUCGGAAUUACUGGGCGUAAAGCGCACGUAGGCGGAUAUUUAAGUUAGGGGUGAAAUCCCAGGGCUCAACCCUGGAACUGCCUUUCAUACUGGGUAUCUCGAGUCCGAGAGAGGUGAGUGGAAUUCCGAGUGUAGAGGUGAAAUUCGUAGAUAUUCGGAGGAACACCAGUGGCGAAGGCGGCUCACUGGCUCGGUACUGACGCUGAGGUGCGAAAGCGUGGGGAGCAAACAGG